GUUGGUUGAAAAUCACCCCCGGCUUUGGCCGUGGCCGCGGGUGAGAUUCGGCGCCUAGAUCCUCCGGGGGCCUCAGCUCACCACGCGCUGCCCUGUGUGCGGCGGUGAAACCCACGCCCCGACAGGC
Callithrix jacchus (white-tufted-ear marmoset) is the source of this 127-nucleotide small nucleolar RNA. The record is from Ensembl. NCBI's taxonomy places the organism in Eukaryota, Metazoa, Chordata, Mammalia, Primates, Cebidae.